GUGCCAGCCGCCGCGGUAAGACGAACCGUGCAAACGUUGUUCGGAAUCACUGGGCUUAAAGGGCGCGUAGGCGGCUGACCAAGUCCGGGGUGAAAUCCUGCAGCUUAACUGUAGAAGUGCCUUGGAUACUGGUUGGCUCGAGGGAGAUAGGGGUCUGUGGAACUGCUGGUGGAGCGGUGAAAUGCGUUGAUAUCAGCAGGAACGCCGGUGGCGAAAGCGACGGACUGGAUCUUUUCUGACGCUGAGGCGCGAAAGCUAGGGGAGCAAACGGGAUUAGAUACCCUUGUAGUCC
Molecule: ribosomal RNA, 292 nt
Filed under: uncultured bacterium
Lineage: Bacteria
Description: partial 16S ribosomal RNA
Rfam family: Bacterial small subunit ribosomal RNA
Source: RNAcentral